UGUUUACGUCGUGGGUGGUCGUGUUGGUCGCGCGAAGAGAAGUGAAUGACAUGUUCGUGGUUGUUGUGUCAAUUAUUCGAGAGACGUACAUAUGCCUGGUGUAGUUUUGGUGUUGGGGGAUGCAAAAAUCGUGUUCGUUCACCAUCGGCGGCGGGCGUUUUCUACCACAAGAUUCAACAGGAGAGUGCGCCAAAGCGAAUGUGGUUCGAAACACUCGGUUAGCAGAUGUAGCAGUCGUGUCGUGUGUGCUGUUCUCAUUUUGCUGCCGAUGACUACGAAGAUGCCGUAGAAGGCGAAUUGCGAAGACGUCCGAAGCACACACUGAUGCUCAGUACCCAUUGAUUUCGCUUCACCGAGGUGACGGGUUCAACACAACGUCUUAGGGGCCUUCCAGUGUUGAAGUGGCGCAAGACUGCUUCGUGUGUGUGUGAUCCAGGCACUCAAGUUGACAUGACAGAAAUAGCUGAAAGCAGCAUGCCUGAAGAAAUGUUCUGAUCUUCAUCAAGAUGACAGGUCAUUGUUCGAUCUGCAGCAUUAUUGUUCCUGUAAUCUUUUCACCAACGGAGAAUACAAAAGUGAACAAAUGGUAAAAUAUAACUAGCUCGUUAAAUUCAAAAGGGAAAGACAAAGCUGUUUAUACUUCUCUUGUUUAUUUUGUUGCAGGUUUUACA
Ornithodoros turicata is the source of this 671-nucleotide long non-coding RNA. RefSeq lists it as uncharacterized. Lineage: Eukaryota; Metazoa; Arthropoda; Arachnida; Ixodida; Argasidae. The transcript is spliced from 3 exons. The record is from RefSeq and is a predicted model, not a curated record.